UACGGAGGGGGCUAGCGUUGUUCGGAAUUACUGGGCGUAAAGGGCGCGUAGGCGGGAUGGCAAGUCGGUCGUGAAAUCCUUCGGCUCAACCGAAGAACGUCGAUCGAUACUGCUGUUCUUGAGGGUUGCAGAGGAGACUGGAAUUCCCGGUGUAGCGGUGAAAUGUGUAGAGAUCGGGAGGAACACCGGUGGCGAAGGCGGGUCUCUGGGCAAUUCCUGACGCUGAGGCGCGAAAGCGUGGGGAGCAAACGGG
This 253-nucleotide ribosomal RNA is filed under the name uncultured bacterium. RNAcentral describes it as "partial 16S ribosomal RNA". It matches the Rfam family "Bacterial small subunit ribosomal RNA", at positions 524 to 776 of the family's 1533-position model. The record is from RNAcentral.